CUCUUCCAGCACCCGCUGCCUCCCAAGAGGAAAUACCUGCUGGUCUUCAAAGGGAAGAGGUACCUCACGGGCAUCGGCUCCGGCACCAGGAACGCUCUGCACCACAUCCACAAUGGCCGGGACAUCGUCUCCCUCACCACCUGCAAGCACGGCAAGGACUGGCAGCGGCACAAGGACGCGCGCUGCGACCGCGACAACGUGGACUACGACAAGUUCGACUACCAGGAGCUGCUGCACAACUCCACGUUCUGCAUCAUCCCACGCGGCCGCCGCUUGGGCUCCUUCCGCUUCCUGGAGGCGCUGCAGGCCGCCUGCAUCCCGGUGCUGCUGAGCGAUGGCUGGGAGCUGCCCUUCUCCGAGGUGCUCGACUGGGGCAGAGCCGCCGUCGUG
Tinamus guttatus (white-throated tinamou) is the source of this 390-nucleotide non-coding RNA. The record is from RefSeq and is a predicted model, not a curated record. NCBI's taxonomy places the organism in Eukaryota, Metazoa, Chordata, Aves, Tinamiformes, Tinamidae.